ACCGCCCCUCCCGCCGCGCGGGCGUCGCCGGCCACCUCCCUCCCGUCGUGUGCGCCAAAGUCGGCCGCCCUCCCAGCUCCCAUUCUCCCAUCCCCAAUACAGCAAAGGUGACCAAAAAGUAAGAAAGUGAAAGCGGAGCAGUGGAGGCCACCAUCCCUUCUCUGCAACACAUCAACUUGGCAUGGCAGAUUCAAUGCUUAGCACGGUUCCUUCAUGGCUCCCCGUAGGGAUGGACCCCUUAACUACAUAUUUGUUGGAAAUCAAACUAGCCGGGGAUCGAAAAAAUGCUAGGGUGGAAUAUGAUUGGUUUAUUUUCAGUAAAGUGAUAGACUCAAAUGCGAUGUGCUACAAAGACUUUAUUGAUGGAUUUUGUUAUUGUGAUGCCGUACAAAGUGGUCUAGUCAUAGUUGACAUAUUUUGCUAUUGUAAGGAUUGCUUCCUCAUGAUGUAUUGAUGCACUGUUAUGGACCUUAUGCCAUUAUGCUCAUGAUAUACUGCCUAGCUAAUUUGGUUUGUUGGUUGCACUAUUUUGUUUGAAAUGGAAAGUUGGUUUGUUUCCUGCACUAUUGAGUAUGGAAAUGGAAUUGUGGGUGCGCAUGAUAUGAACUGUUAUGUAUGGAUGAUGGAAAGAUUAUGUUCUGUGCAUGAUAUUGUGUGUUCUGUAUGGAUAUCUCUAUUGUUAUGUAUGAUGGUAUUCAUGCUCUUAUUUUACCAUAAUCAAUUUCUUA
Oryza sativa Japonica Group (Japanese rice) is the source of this 728-nucleotide long non-coding RNA. RefSeq lists it as uncharacterized. The record is from RefSeq and is a predicted model, not a curated record. Lineage: Eukaryota; Viridiplantae; Streptophyta; Magnoliopsida; Poales; Poaceae.